CUUGCUCCUCUGACGUUAGCGGCGGACGGGUGAGUAACACGUGGAUAACCUACCUAUAAGACUGGGAUAACUUCGGGAAACCGGAGCUAAUACCGGAUAAUAUAUUGAACCGCAUGGUUCAAUAGUGAAAGACGGUUUUGCUGUCACUUAUAGAUGGAUCCGCGCCGCAUUAGCUAGUUGGUAAGGUAACGGCUUACCAAGGCAACGAUGCGUAGCCGACCUGAGAGGGUGAUCGGCCACACUGGAACUGAGACACGGUCCAGACUCCUACGGGAGGCAGCAGUAGGGAAUCUUCCGCAAUGGGCGAAAGCCUGACGGAGCAACGCCGCGUGAGUGAUGAAGGUCUUCGGAUCGUAAAACUCUGUUAUUAGGGAAGAACAAAUGUGUAAGUAACUAUGCACGUCUUGACGGUACCUAAUCAGAAAGCCACGGCUAACUACGUGCCAGCAGCCGCGGUAAUACGUAGGUGGCAAGCGUUAUCCGGAAUUAUUGGGCGUAAAGCGCGCGUAGGCGGUUUUUUAAGUCUGAUGUGAAAGCCCACGGCUCAACCGUGGAGGGUCAUUGGAAACUGGAAAACUUGAGUGCAGAAGA
Molecule: ribosomal RNA, 591 nt
Filed under: Staphylococcus epidermidis
Lineage: Bacteria; Bacillati; Bacillota; Bacilli; Caryophanales; Staphylococcaceae
Description: bacterial SSU rRNA
Rfam family: Bacterial small subunit ribosomal RNA
Source: RNAcentral